This is a long non-coding RNA of Monopterus albus (swamp eel), 2380 nucleotides long. RefSeq lists it as uncharacterized. Lineage: Eukaryota; Metazoa; Chordata; Actinopteri; Synbranchiformes; Synbranchidae. The transcript has 4 exons. The record is from RefSeq and is a predicted model, not a curated record.
UGUACACAUUUCCUUUGAUUCUUGCUGCCACUCCUUCUAUGGAUUAAUUUAAUGUUGUCUUGUUGUUAGCGAAAGGUUAAAGGUCAUCCAGGCGUCAGAAGUGGAGUGUUAGCGAUUUACAGAAAAUGUUCAAGUCAGUUCUGUUCCACGUGGUCGACGCCAGCAAGCAGAAUGAAAUGACACGAUAAAAACACCAGGACAGAGUGGUUUUAAAAGUUAAGCAGAAGAAACACCCCGAGGCCUAAAUCCUGCUUUACAAAGUGGAUUUCAUGGCUCAGAGUUUAUCCGAGACACUUCACUCCUAAAGAGUGCACAUUCAUCAUUUUGGAUAAGCAGAUCCCAGUAUAGAAGAGGAGCAGUGCACGGUGGGAGAUGUCAACAUGUUCCUGAUGGACCCAACAGACCUUUCCUCGGCUGAGCUGGAGAUCAUGAUAGCAGAGCCUGGUUCCAGAGGCAAGGGCAUUGGGAUGGAGGUGACACACAUGAUGAUGCGCCACGGUGAGCAUCUGAUCCCAUCAUUCAGAAGGUUUUGAGCAAGAAGACGGAAGCUUAAAGUCACCAGGUAGAAGUUGAAAAUUUCCACACCUCUUGAAUUACUGCCCAUUUUUCUGCAAUUCAGUCUUGUGCUGUGUUGGAGAGUCAACCUGUGGUGAAGCAGGAAAUACCAUUUUUCUGAAUACAGUAUCAAAACUUCAACAAAGCCUCAAUUACCCAUCACUACUGACACUAGCUUUCAGUUAGUAGCCAAACUCCAUACUGGGAAGAGGCUGGGGUGGAUGGCUGCUCCAUAAAACAUGGGACUUUCCUCCAGGAGAGUGGUGGUCUUUUCCAGUGUGUAACAUGCUUCACCUGACCAAGUUGAUUUUGUUCCUAAACCUAAAAAAGUUUUCUGUGCCGCACAACACAGAAGCAAACCUGAAGAAAAACAUUUCAGAGGUGAAGAAGGGGCCAUCUUGUAAUCUGCUAUCCUGUUCUCAUAAUACAUCUGCAGUACAGGUGACACACUGAACAUAAGAAUGUAGUACUGUCUGCAGUAAGUGCACCUGCAGUUUCAGUUCUGUCAAACUACUGUUAUGUCAGUAAUGAACCUUUGUGCUUUUGUUGUUGUUUUUGCUAACAAAUGUGUCAGUGAUUCUCGAUUCUAAAUUAUCGUCACUCAACAAGACACUGACCUCUCUGGUACAGAUAGAAACUGUAGACAAGAAGUCCCUACAUUAGUGCUGAUGGGUGAAAACCUUGUCUUCCUGUCAGAACAGAGGCUUUCCAGUUUGCCACAUUCAGGUGUUGUUAAUGAAAUGUUUCAUCAGAUCAAGGCUGGAGUAUCUCUCCAGCAAAUACACAGGGUUUUCAUCUGAACUCAGGAGACUGAGGUGCUGUUUAAGAAUAGAAUAUUCAGGUCGAACAAAUCACUGCCUUAGGAGAAGUGAAGGUUUAUUUGAUAGGCAUAAAUAAAUAAAUAUUCCAGUCAUAAGCCAACAUGAAGACUUUGACUGAUGGAGUGGCAAAAAAACACACUGGAUGUUUUACAUGGACACUAAGUGGUUUUCAUCCAGCGGGACAUGAAAAUGCAUUGUCACUUUUUAUUCCCUUGUGUUGUAACUUUCCUACUACUGUCCUGUAGCACCGAGUUGAGAUCUGGGGGAUGUCAGUGGGAGACUGGAGACCAAUAUAAUUCAAUUUGCUGCAGCAGCCAACUGUGACUGGACACACUGAUGAAGAUGACAAUUAGAAAAGCAUUUAUGAUUUCACACAGUGAAAACAAGAACCCAGACAGAUCAGACAAUGUCACAGAAUCAAAUGUAUGGAAGUUCAGAAGUGACAAAACUGUUUUGGUGAAUCCAAAACAUAAACUGAGUAAUAAUCAGCCUGCAAGUCACAACUGAGGAGAGCACAGACACGUUUUUCACAGCUAAAAUGUCUAGUUGAUUACUUCCAUAGUUCAUAUUAGUUUUAUUUGUAUAGUGCCAAAUCGCAACAAAAAUCAUUUCAAAGUAUUUUACACAGAGAAAAACCCAACAAAUAAAUAAAUGGCAACAAUUUUGACAAUCAAUUAAUAGUUAUUUACCAAGCAAACAAAAUGUUUGGUGAUUCUGAAAAACCUUGAAAGGGCAUUUUCACUAAUUUGGACAUUUUAUUGAAUACUUUAAUUAAAAAUAGUCAGAAAACAGAAGUAAUUGCAGCCCCCGGUCAUUGUCUAUAAACAUACUAGCCAUUUUGCUAUACAUACAGUACAUCAUCUCUACAGAGCUGUUGUUCCCUUUUAUAUUUCUGGUUGUGUUUGGUCUUUGUGGGCUCUGUAGCAAAUAACUGAACCAGAAGGCUGCAUUGCAAUAUUGCAUGUACAGAAUUUUCUGCAUCAAGUUGAAGAAAUUCCUUGAUU